GUUGAAACAUUGGUUCUUGUGCGAUCACCAAAGUUAAGCAACGUUGAUCCUGGUCAGUACCUAGAUGGGUGACCGCUUGGGAAUACCAGGUGUUGUAAG
Non-coding RNA from Acanthosepion pharaonis, 99 nucleotides. The record is from the annotation of a GenBank genome assembly. NCBI's taxonomy places the organism in Eukaryota, Metazoa, Mollusca, Cephalopoda, Sepiida, Sepiidae.